CUAAAUUAAAACUUCCUCAGAAUGACUUGAUUUACCAAAGCUUGACUUGUCAUCAAAGAAGACUGGUGAGUUUUCCUAAAGAAAUUCCUCAGAACCACACUUUGCUUUGCCUAUAGUAACUAGACACUGAAUUCAAUGAUGUCUUGCUAUGAUAACAAGACAGAGAAUCAGAUGGAGAGAGAUAUAGAUGGACAGAAAUAGAGAUAAGGAGGGAGUGUGGUUACUGUUUCUCUGAUAUUAAAAGGCCAGUCCAAUAUACCUUGGAUCUAUUACUAAGUUACUUUUGAACAAUACUUUUAUGGUUUUUCAAAGCAUUUUCAUGAAAUAUCUUGCUCAUUUGUUCCUGUCCCACAACAGCCCUGUGAUACUGCUACAGAGGGUAUUCCUUUUGACAGACAAGGGAGAAAAUCUUUGGCCCAUUCAUGAAAUCUCAUGGGCAGAGACAAAGGACAAGAGGACUGUGGGUCCUACUACCAUUGCCCUGGAAGAACAGCAGAGUUUCCCCAGGAGGGUCACUUUUCUUCUUAUGAAGAAUCUCCUUUUGGGUAAUGUGAUAUCGAUUGUAUAUGUGUUAUCAUACAACACAUACUUACAUGUUCAUAAUUUUGCAAAAAAAAGGACACACUAGAGAAAAAAUUAAUUGAAGAAAUCAAGUGAAGAACGACAGGUUAAUAUUAUGAUUUCUUCAUUUCAUCUGUUUUAUAUUCUACACGCUCAUUGGCGAACCCGUGGCAUGGAUGCACAGGUGGCACUCUGGGAGCUGCUCUGUUCCCCCUCUUCCCAGUGACCAAGGACAUUUUUUUUUUGCAUGCUCCAGCCCCUCUGACCAGCUGCCCAAAGCAAGCACUUUCUCCCUCAGCUCUCUGGAUAAUCCAGGGGCUCACCUGCAGUUUGAAUUUGCCUUCUGUACCCUCAACCUGGGAAAAGUUUCAACAACCCUUCCUAAUACUGAGCAAACAAGGAAUUCUGAAACAAAGUAAGGAGAGAUGAAAUAUUUGCUGCUGUUAACGGUGAUUAAAGUAAACUGUCAAAAAAGUAUGCUGGAAAGUGAAAAGGGAAACUACUAGGUCUCCUUAGUUUUCAGAUGUUAACUUGGAACUCUCUGGUUCAUUAUUUACUGAAUCUCCUUUUUCUUUGUAUUCUUCUAAUGAGACUAGCUAGCUCAAUAUUCUCUUUAAACUUGAUUGUAUUUACAUAUAUAUGUCAAUAACCUUGUCUCUGAAAAACUAGCAUCACACUUUUUCAGGGACAGAGUUAAGCAUUAUUUAAUAUGUACUUUGAGGAUAAAUGGACCAGUUAGUCUUGAAUAUACCCCCUGUGAAGAAAUAAUUUUCAAAACUUCAUGGUUAAAUAUAAUAUGUAUUUUCCUCACCUUUCAAAAAUCUCCACAACACUUGUCUUAAAAUUCUGCUGGAUUUUGAGGGGCAGACAACCACAGAUGACACUGGAAAUUUGAAGAUUUAGAAACAAUUGGAGACUGUCCACGUUUGUCAUAUUAUGGAUAUGUGUAUAUUUUAUGUAUAUUUUUGAAUAUAUGCAUAUAUAUAAAUGCACACACAUACAUAUCAUAGCAUAAUUAUAGAAUUACUAAGUGAUUGAAAAUUAGGGGUAUUAAGAUAGAACGGUAUUCUAUAAUUAUUAAGUAUAAAAUACAUUUGUUUUUUAUAAGCUGAAUAACUGACUAUGAACACUGUAUUUUAUGUUUAGGUGCAUGGUAGCAUGUUCAAGGAUAUAAAGUACCUUAGGAGGCAGUUGCGUGGCUCAGAGGAUAGAGUAUUGCGUCUGGGUCAAAAAGAUCGGAUUUCAAAUCUGACAUCAGACAUUAAUUAGCUAUAUGAUCAUGGUAAGUCAUUUAACUGCUUUCUUAAUCUAUUAGAGAAGGAAAAGCACUUCAGUGUCUUUGGCAAUGAAAACUCCACUGGCAGUAAGGUCCAUGGAGUCAAAGAGUCUCACACAAAUAAAUAAUAUCAAACUUCCA
Molecule: long non-coding RNA, 1978 nt
Organism: Monodelphis domestica (gray short-tailed opossum)
Lineage: Eukaryota; Metazoa; Chordata; Mammalia; Didelphimorphia; Didelphidae
Source: Ensembl